CGCUCGUAGCAUACGGGAGUGCAGACGGGUGAGUAACGCGUGAGGAACAUACCCUCCGGUUCGGAAUAGCUCAGGAAACUUGGAUUAUACCGGAUACGGCUGAGAGGCGAAAGAUUUAUCCGCCGGAGGAUUGGCCCGCGUUCGAUUAGCUUGUUGGUGAGGUAACGGCUCACCAAGGGCGAUGAUCGAUAGCUGGUCUGAGAGGAUGAUCAGCCACAUUGGGACUGAGACACGGUCCAAACUCCAUACGGGAGGCAGCAGUGGGGAAUAUUGGACAAUGGGCGCAAGCCUGAUCCAGCCAUGCCGCGUGAGGGAUGAAGCUUUUCGGAGUGUAAACCCCUUUCGACCCGGAAGAAUGCCCGCAAGGGUUUGACGGUACGGGUAUAAGAAGCCCCGGCUAACUACGUGCCAGCAGCCGCGGUAAUACGUAGGGGGCCAGCGUUGCUCGGAAUUACUGGGCGUAAAGGGUCCGUAGGCGGUGUGGCAAGUCGGGAGUGAAAUCUCUGGGCUUAACCCAGAGGCUGUUCCGAAACUGGCAUGCUAGAGUGUGAGAGAGGCGCAGUGGAAUUACGGGUGUAGCGGUGAAAUG
This 589-nucleotide ribosomal RNA is filed under the name uncultured bacterium. Its description in RNAcentral is "bacterial SSU rRNA". It matches the Rfam family "Bacterial small subunit ribosomal RNA", at positions 78 to 688 of the family's 1533-position model. The record is from RNAcentral.